UACGUAGGUGGCAAGCGUUGUCCGGAUUUACUGGGCGUAAAGGGUGCGUAGGCGGACCUUUAAGUGAGAUGUGAAAUCCCCGAGCUUAACUUGGGGGCUGCAUUUCAAACUGGAGGUCUAGAGUGCAGGAGAGGAGAGUGGAAUUCCUAGUGUAGCGGUGAAAUGCGUAGAGAUUAGGAAGAACACCAGUGGCGAAGGCGACUCUCUGGACUGUAACUGACGCUGAGGCACGAAAGCGUGGGGAG
RNAcentral lists this ribosomal RNA (245 nucleotides) under uncultured bacterium. Its description in RNAcentral is "partial 16S ribosomal RNA". It matches the Rfam family "Bacterial small subunit ribosomal RNA", at positions 524 to 768 of the family's 1533-position model. The record is from RNAcentral.